This 253-nucleotide ribosomal RNA is filed under the name uncultured bacterium. RNAcentral describes it as "partial 16S ribosomal RNA". It matches the Rfam family "Bacterial small subunit ribosomal RNA", at positions 524 to 776 of the family's 1533-position model. The record is from RNAcentral.
UACGGAGGAUGCAAGCGUUAUCCGGAAUGAUUGGGCGUAAAGCGUCCGCAGGUGGCUAUGUAAGUCUGCUGUUAAAGAGUGAGGCUCAACCUCAUAAGAGCAGUGGAAACUACAUAGCUAGAGUGCGUUCGGGGCAGAGGGAAUUCCUGGUGUAGCGGUGAAAUGCGUAGAUAUCAGGAGGAACACCGGUGGCGAAGGCGGCAUCCUGGACCGGCAUUGACGCUGAGGCGCGAAAGCCAGGGGAGCAAACGGG